This 430-nucleotide ribosomal RNA is filed under the name Boophis quasiboehmei. Its description in RNAcentral is "partial 16S ribosomal RNA". It matches the Rfam family "Bacterial large subunit ribosomal RNA", at positions 2008 to 2597 of the family's 2925-position model. The record is from RNAcentral. Lineage: Eukaryota; Metazoa; Chordata; Amphibia; Anura; Mantellidae.
GGAUCCUACUGUCUCCCCCCUCUAAUCAGUGAAACUGAUCUCCCCGUGAAGAAGCGGGGAUAUACAUAUAAGACGAGAAGACCCCAUGGAGCUUUAAACCUGACAGCACCCGCUCAUUCUAUACCCCAUUAUUUGCCCGACCCCUGUCUGCUCAGUUUUAGGUUGGGGUGACCACGGAGUAUAAAAUAACCUCCAUGAAGAAGGGGAUAUUUCCCUUAUUAGAGAACCACACUUCCAAGAACUAAUAAAUUAAUUUUCAAUGACCCGAUACCUGAUAAUCGAUCAACGAACCAAGUUACCCUGGGGAUAACAGCGCAAUCCACCCUGAAAGCCCUUAUUAACAGGUGGGUUUACGACCUCGAUGUUGGAUCAGGGUAUCCCAGUGGUGCAGCAGCUACUGAGGGUUCGUUUGUUCAACGAUUAAAACCCU